This 1306-nucleotide long non-coding RNA is filed under the name Olea europaea subsp. europaea. Lineage: Eukaryota; Viridiplantae; Streptophyta; Magnoliopsida; Lamiales; Oleaceae. The record is from RNAcentral.
GGGCAGAGAGGUUGGAAACGGCAGAGGAGGAAAAGAAGAAAGAAAAGAAAAGAGGAAGGAAGAAAAAGAAGAAGAAAAGAGAAAAAGAGGAGGAGAAAAAGGAAGGAAAGUAGGUAGUUCAAGCUUGAUUCCCUUCUCCUUUCUCUAUAUUUCCUUCAAGAGGUAAAGGAAUGAUGUUAUGUUAAAUUUUUAGGGUUUAAACUUGUGGUAUAAAUUUCAGAUUUAAGAGGGUAAGAGUACAAACUGGAGCUCAAGUUUGUUGAUUAUUUAAUCUCCAACUUCAUUAAGGCAAGAAUACCAAUUUUUGGCAAAUCCUAGAUUUUAAAUUGGAUACUUGAGUAAGGAUUAAUUGUGAACAUGAUUAUGGUGAUGAUAUAUUAACUUGAAAAAAUGGAUCUAUGGGAUAAGAUGUAAAUUAGAUUGGUGCAAGUGGGAAUUCAAGUUUCACUAGAUUUGAAUAAAGAAUUGUUUUAAUGCUUGGGAUGUAGCUAAUUAUGAUAAUUUAAAAAUUAGUGAAAGGCUAGAAGGUAUAAUUUGUUUCAAUUGUGAAGGAAACUAAAGAAUAUAUUCAAGUGCCGAAAAGUCAAGUGCUAAUAUUUCAUAAUUAAAUGUGAAGAGAUACUUAGUAUGAGAUUUGUUAAAUUAGUUAUUUUACAUUACAUUUCAAGUGAUGACAUGAAAGCUUGACAAGGCUGGUCAAUUUGACCAGAUCGUUAUCCAUAGAUUUGUGAGUGGAGAAUCUACUUUUCCAAAAAGAAUAUUUUCUUUUUAUGUUAUAGAAGCAUAUUAAUUACAUGAAAUGUCUUAUUUUCAAGAAUUGGUAAAUGAGCAUGAUUGUUUUGAAAUUAUCAGAAAAUAAUUGAUGUAAUUAUCUUACUCUAGUGCACUGAGGGGCUACGGCUGUGUACUAGAGUCAUGUAUUUAACUCCUAUACAUUGAGGAGCUACAGCCGUGUGUAAGGGUAACUCUUAUUCACUGAGGGCUUACGAUCGUGGGUAAAGGUACUUAUUAUACACUGAGGGGCUACAGCCGUGUAUGAGGAUGAUUAUGUUGUUUCCAUCUUGUGCACUGAGAGGCUACGACCGUGUACAGAAUAUUGAUCCGACAGUUUAUGUGCAUAUGAUUUUAUAGCUUUUAGAUCAUUAGUAGAUGUUUUACAUGGGGUAUAUUUGAUGUGAGUUUUAAGUAUAUAGGGGAUUAUUAGCCUACAGCUUACAUUUCCCCGUUUACAGUUCAGCUUAUGGAUUUUAGAUUAAGAGUUCAGUUUAUUUAGUUCUAAGAAUAAAACUUCCAGCUUAUAAUAUUG